RNA transcript from Ostrea edulis (European flat oyster), 7328 nucleotides. It is a transcript of the gene named heat shock 70 kDa protein 12A-like, with no coding region annotated. The transcript has 6 exons. The record is from RefSeq and is a predicted model, not a curated record. Lineage: Eukaryota; Metazoa; Mollusca; Bivalvia; Ostreida; Ostreidae.
GUCCUGCUUGAGCGCCAAUUCUGUUUGCCCCUUCCUUAGAAGCACACCUUUUCAUUUGGCUGUUGUCUUCCAUGCUUAGUUAAGUUUAAUGCAAGCACAUUGAACAUUUUGAUGGCUAAACCCGGCAGUUGUUAGUAUAAAAACCUUUGCGUCAAGCUGAUCUCUUUUGGCGUCAUCAAGCAAGGGAGUGUAGUGCUCCAAUUCAGCAAAUCAAAAUGGACUCCAAUAUUUCCAGCAAAUGUAGCAAGCUUGUGGUCGCUGCCAUUGACAUCGGGACCGCAUAUUCCGGAUAUGCAUUCUCUUUCCAAAGUACAUGGAAUAAAGUAAUGACACCCUUUUGGCAAGUAAGACAGUCAAUUACUAAUAAGACUCCUACAUGUCUGCUCCUGAGAAAGGACUACUCGGUAGUUUUGUUUGGAUAUGAAGCUGAAGACGAAUAUUCAUAUAUAAAAGAGGAUAACAAGCAUGAAGACUAUUAUUUUUUUCAAGGGUUUAAAGUGAUUCUUCAUGAGGAAUCUGUAAAUCGGCAUAUGUUAUGCCAGGCACAUGACGGCAGAAGUCUGGAGGCUAGUGUGGUUUUUAUGCACUGCAUCAGAUACCUAAAAAGUCACUUCUAUGCAAAACUACAGACCGCGUGUAUAGACAUAAAGGACGAUGACAUUCAGUAUGUGUUGACUGUGCCAGCGACAUGGGGAGACAAAGCCAAGGUGUUCAUGAGGGAAGCUGCAAUUGAGGUUGGUAAUCGGGCGGUGAAGGACAUGUAUGUAUAUAUACUACUCAAAAUUUAGUUUAUGCUUUUACUACCAUUGCACGAUUUUCACUCAGGCAUCGGUGUCUGAUUCUUUCUAAAAUUUCAAACUCACUUGAGUGUUUACACUACGUUUAUCAACACAAUGCCCCCUCAACGCGUAAGGCGUCGCCUGACGACAGAACAACUGGGCAGAUAUAUUGGAAUGCUUGACGCUGGCUAUUCACAGCGUGACGUUGCAAAUGCAUUAAACGUCAGCAAGAGCGUUGUAAACAGGGCCUGGAACCGACAGCAAACUUUUGGUACAGCAGCACACCGACAUGGGGGUGGUCGUCAGAGGUCGACAACCCAACGUCAAGACCAUUUUGUGGCUCUUCAGGCACGACGCCAUCCCUUCCGGACAGCAACUAGCCUACGUAACGACCUCCUGAACGCCUCGGGGGUGAAUGUGUCCACUCAGACGAUACGGAAUCGGCUUCACAAUGCAGGUCUCAACUCGAGAAGGGCAUGUGUUCGAGUCCUUCUGACUGUUCGACACCGGCGGGAGCGAUUGGACUGGGCUGAAGAUCAUGUCACUUGGACACAGAACGAUUGGGUUCAAGUUCUGUUCACCGAUGAGUCCAAGUAUUGUUUGGACUUUACAGACAGGAGGCACCGAGUGUGGCGACGACAACGUGAACGUUUCCAUGAUGCCAACAUCAGUGAACAUGACCGUUAUGGUGGUGGUUCUAUCAUGGUCUGGGGUGGAAUCAGCAGGGAUGGAAGAACAGAUCUUCAUGUCCUGGAGAGAGGAACAAUGACGGGGUGUGGUACCGGGAUGAGAUCCUCGAUGUUUACGUCAGACCCUACGCUGGUGCUGUUGGCCCUGAGUUCAUCCUGGUGGAUGAUAACGCCCGUCCUCAUCGCGCCAGGGUGGUGGAGCAGUACCUUCAGCAGGAGACAAUUGUCCGUAUGGACCGGCCAGCGCUCUUGCCGGACUUGAACCCGAUUGAGCAUGUAUGGAACAUGCUGCAGGUUGCCCUUUCACGCCGUGGAGCACAACCCACGACUUUGGCAGAGCUCGGAAACGCCCUCGUGGAAGAGUGGAACAACCUUCCCAUUGGAAACAUCCGGGUGCUUAUUGACAGGAUGGCUCGACGUUGUCAAGCCGUCAUUGAUGCAAGGGGAGGCCAUACCCGGUAUUGACACUUCAUCGACUAAGUGUAAUGAUGGACUAUCCCCAAAAACUGUGUAAUUCUUUCUCUGGUUUGCUGUUAACUUUUUGUAAUGAAAUGCCUUUUGGUGUUGUUAUCAGAUUUCAAGCAUUCCGUAUUGAUAAAAGUUCAUGCCGUUCAUGAGUUUUCAUUCAUAACCUGAGUAAACACGUUUCUGAGUAAAAUUGAUGUCUUUUGUUAUGUUAGUGGUAAAUUACACACAUAUAACCUAGUGAUCCUUAUCAAAUUUUGAGUAGUAUAUAUAUCCAAGAACAAAAGCAUUGAAAACAAACUUUAUGAUAGUACCUGCAAUACACUUAGCCGUAAAAAUCUUGAUAUAAAUGUAAAGAGUUUCGUCUCUCUGGACCAGCAUCAUAUACCAAGAUUGAAAUGCAACUCAAGUGAGCUGUUCUGAUCACAUUUUGUCUGGCGUCAGUCCGUCCGUAUACUUUUAACAUUUUCGACGUCUUCUCAAGAACCGCAAGGCUAAUUUCAGCCAAACUUGCCACAAAGCAUGCUUGGGUUUUGUUCAAAUGAAGUGUUGCAUCCUUUUUGAAGUGGAGAUGAUUAAGAAUUAGUAAAUAAUUUUGUGGCAUCGUUAACAUAUCUUCUUCUCGAGAACCAUCAGAUCAAUUUCAAUCAAACUUGGCACAAAUCAUCCUUGAGUGAAUGGGAUUCAAGUUAAUUCAAAUGAAGGGCCAUGCUCAUUUCAAAGGGGAAAUAAUCAAGGAAAUGCAAAAAUAGGGUGGGGUAAUUUAACAAAUCUUCUCAAGAACCACUGGAUCAAAAAUGUUGAAUAUUGCAUAAAAGCUUCCUGACACAGUGUAAAUUUCAGUUUGUUCAAAUCAUGUCUCCCGGGGUAGGAUAGGGCCACAGCAAGGGAUCAAUAUUUACGCGGGGAUAUAUAAGAUAAAUCUUUACAAAUCUUCACAAGAACAAUAGGGUCAUGAUUAAUCAUUGAUAUGCAAACAUCCCCAGGUAGUACAGAUUCAUAUUUGUUCAAAUUGUGGUCCCAGGGGGUAGGAUGAAGUCAUUAUAGGGGAUAACAGUUUUGUAUAGAAAUAUAUAGGGAAAAUCUUCUCAAUAACAAUACUGCCAUGAAUAUUCAUAUUAAUAUGCAAGUAUUCCCAGGUAGUGUAGAUUGAAGUUAAAAUAGUGACUCCGGGGUAGGAUGGGGUCAUAUCUAAGUCUUAUAUGGGAAUAGGGAAACGUUUUUAAAAAUCUUCUCAAGAACAGCAGAUCAAUGAUUAGUCAUAUUGACAUGUAAGCAUUUUCAAGUAGUGUAAGUUUGUUCAAUUCAGGAGCUCCAGGAAUAGGGGGGGGGGGGGGGGCAUAAUAGAAGAUCAAAGUCUGAUAUGGGAUUAUACAUGAAUUAAGGAGGCGAGAUCAAAAGGUCGAUGUCGGAUAAAAAUCUAAAUUCAAAUAGUUAGGGGGAGGGAGGGUAAAAAUUCCAGUAAGUUUCUAUCAUACGACAUAGAUUAAUUUUUUUGUGAAAAAAGAAAAACGACAAAUGACUGUUAAAAACCACAGUAAUAUUACAUUUAAUAGUUUUAAUGUACACUUUCAUUUGUGAACAAACAGUAGAAAGGGUAUACAGAGCGUUAUUUAUACAGGUAUGUUUUUACAUGUUCGAUUAAUUUCAACAUUAAUUCCAGAUGCAGAAAUGAACGUGACAAAUAGUAUAAAUUACAAAACUUUAAUGAAAAACAUGAAUAUUACAAUUUUUUGUGGCGAUUAUGUGUCACAAUCCACUUAUAUAAUCUAUAAGUUCCCCAGGCGGAAACCAGAGAAUCAACAAGUGUCUCCAUCAACUGGCAAAAGGCGCACCCACGGGUGACCGUGAUGAGCGAGACCUCCUGGUACCAUAACAAGAGAGAAUACCACAUGUGAAAAGGAAAUCAAGUAUUGGCUCAGGUCCUCACUAUCCUGCCUCCCCGGGUACCAUAUACAGGGAUAAGCCCAAAAAUUGCCCUUGGUACCACAAGGGUCAAGCCGGCCCCUAAGGUAAACUCCCCCCAGUAAUGAGGAUGGAAUACAGAGUUUAGAGCCAGACAUUUAAGCGAGAUUCUGAUUCGUGGUAAUUCCCGAGUUCCGCCUACCCCCUUCCCAGAUUGUGACUUCAGAACAAAUUAAAAUCUUUACCAAAAUCCCCACUGUCAAUGUUAAACACAUAAUGCAAUUAGCAAAUGAUCCGGGUUAGAAUAGGUCCUCAGUACCCCUUGCUUGUCGUAGGAGGUAACUAAAUGGGGCAGUCCUUCGGAUGAGACCGCAAAAACCGAGGCCCCGUGUCACAGCAGGUGUGGCACGAUAAAGAUCCCUCCCUGCUCAAAGGCCGUAAGCGCCGAGCAUAAGCCUAAAUUUUGCAGCCCUUCACCGGCAGUGGUGACGUCUCCAUAUGAGUGAAAUAUUCUCGAGAGGGACGUUAAACAAUAUUUAAUCAAUCAAUCACAAGUUUAUGGCGUCCUCCUUGAUCAAGCGUGAAACCGUCAAUGAUUGAAUCGGGUUCGGUUCAGGCUUUGAUUGCACAGGCAAUGCGCUUUAUAUUCUUAGUCUUAAAUACGUUUGCGGCUAAAGCUUUAAGGUUAACAAGGCUGCAAGAGUUACCGCGCCUGCCCCAGAAUUAAAUACAAUUGUUGAUAAAUGCCAUUAAUUUCAACAUUCAUCAUAUUUAGUUUUAGGGGGGUUUUGGUGAAAACUAUGUGAAUUUAGUUUUUUUUUUAUUUUUUGCGUUAUAAAGCAUAACUUUCGUGUUAUAACGCGAAGCUUUUGCGAAUUAACGCGUAACUUUCGCGAAUAAAUGCGUAGCUUCGCGUUAUAACGCGAAAAUCAUCCAUUAUAACGCGAAACGUUUACGUUUACGUUUGCUUACAAACACGAAUUUAUGGAUUGAAUGCGUAUGAAGUCAUUUGUUCAUUACAAUAAAGAAAAAUAACGAUAGACUUGUCCAGCUGUAGAUUGUAAUUUUGUAUAUAUAUGUAUAUCUCUUGUCUUGAUAUAAUUUGACUGUUUUAAGAAGAUCAUCUUAUUGACCUUUGAUUCUGUUGUUUAUAAUUUAUGAUACAAGUAGUUGAGACUUGGAACUAGUUCAAAUGUUGUAAUUUAUUAAUUUGGUUGAUAUAUUUUUUUCCAAACAGAACACCGAUUCUACAAAAAAGUUUGAAUUUAUUAACACGAAAUUUUGCAUAAAAAUUCAGUAUUUUUGUCAAUAAAUCAAUAAAUCUCUAACCCUCACUUUUUUAUUUCCAAGACAUUGACAAUUAUGUGAAAUUUUAGAAAAUGACAUUACUCCUACAUUGUAAUAUGUCCUUUUAAACUCUCAAAAUUCAUAUCGUGAAUUUUUUCGUAUUUCAAGUGCAAAAAGGUCGUCAUUAUUUAUUUCCAUUACUAGUAUUAAACUUUUUUUUAUCUGUAUUGUUUCCAUGACUAAAGUCGGGGGUGUUAUUGUUUUGUCCUGCCUGUCUGAAACUUAAAUCAUGCUCAUAACUUUUGAAUGGUGAGUGAUAGGGCUCUCAAUUUUCAUAUUUUUAUUCCUUGGGUCAAGACCUUUCUUUUCGUAUCAAAGUUUUUUGACCUUGUGACCUUGACCUUUGAGUUUGACCUACUUUUAAGAAAGCCAUAUCUAGACAAUAUCCCUGAACUAUUUAAGGUAGGGUUUUUUACUUAGUGUAAAGAUUCCUUAUGGCAAGGAAUAUCAUUUGAUGCCAUGGUGUUUGACCAUGUGACCUUGAAGUUUGACCCAAAUUAGAAUUUUUACCAAAACUUUAACCUUCCUCAUGAUUUUGAAUGGCGAGUAAUACAUUUUUCAUGUUUGCGUUCCUUGUGACAAGACCUUUCUUUUGGUACCAAAAUCUUUGACCUUGUAACAUUGACCCUGGAUUUUGAUCUACUUCUAAGAACAUUUAACCUAGGUAAUAUCUUGUGAAAAGAUCCUUAUGGCAAGACCUUACAUUUCAUACCAUGAUUUUUUUAUCUUGUGACCUUGUUAUAAUGAUUAUAUCGUGACCCUAUGGGGCUAGAUUGGGGUCAUAUUAUGGGUUCAAAAUUUUUCAUGGAAAUGAAGAUUGCAGAAAAAUCUUUUGAAAAUCGUAAUAGCUGAAAAACAGCAGGACCAAGGUGACUCGUGUGAGCGAUGUGGUCCAUGGGCCUCUUGUUGUAUUUUCACAGGCAGGAAUUAAAAACGAGCAUUUGAUCAUAGCGCUGGAACCAGAGGCGGCAUCUAUCUACUGCCAGUACUUGCACAUCGCUAAAGAAGACACGUCAUCUGCGGUUUUGGGAGUCGUCAAACCUGGCACAAAGUUCAUGGUGGUUGACCUCGGGACCCCGUUGAGUUCAAGUGACACAGCGCAUAUAACGGUUCAUCAGAAAAGCGCAGACAGCAAUUCGGAAAAAAUUCUUAUGGCAAGUUGGGGACCAUGGGGAGGAAAAUCUGUGAAUGAUAUGUUCAUGACAUUUUUGACGGAAUUGGUGGGAGAAAGAGUUAUAAAAGAUUUCAAGGAAGAAUGCAUGGAAGGUUAUCUUGAUAUGACGAGAUAUUUUGAGGCAAAGAAAAGAAAAGCAAAUUCCUAUAGGGAUGGAAGUACAUCAAUUCCGAUACCAAUGCCCUUUAUCCACUUAUGCGAAAAACUACACAAUGUCAUAGAUUUCAGAGAGGUUAUUGACAAAAAUGAAUUACACAGAAAUAAUGUGAAAUACACUGCAGGAAAACUUAAAUGGGAAAACAAAUAUUUUAGGGGUUUUUUCAAGAAAACUAUUGACAGCAUUGUCAAACAUAUUGACGAGUUGUUCGAAGAGGACGUUGGUAGAGAUGUAGACAUCAUCGUUAUGGUCGGAGGCCUUUCAGAAUGUCAUCUGGUCCAGGACGCAAUCAAAAAGAACUUCGAGCAGAAAACUGUCAUUGUGCCAGAGGAGGCGGGAUUAGCGGUAGUCAAGGGUGCCGUGUAUCUCGGUCACCUCUCUGAUGACAUCCCGCGUACUACACUUUCAUAAAUUGACACAUCCCCUUGUGACCAAAACCUAAGACCUGAUUUCCCCACAAAAGGAACUAAAUGUACAAUAAACAUAGGAUGGUUUAAUUUGUUGCUAUGACUGACAACUCUUUGAACAAGUGUUGUGUAUUCUGACUAACGUAUGUAAAUAUAAGUGUUGAUUAUUUUAUGAAUUUAAACAAUACUAGUAAGUAUCUACUUUAUCAUUCUUCAUAUAUUUUCUCAAUCGUAUUACACACGUGUGUUUACUGCUGUAGUGACACUUAAAACUUUACGCUUAAACUAAUCCAAAUAUUUAUGACAAUUAUUCAUUAAUAUAGAAGUUCAUUUCUUUUUUCUAAUUCACUUUAGAUUUUGCAAUCGAUCCCAUUGAAAUUAUUUAUUGAUUAAAAGUUACAUGUU